RNAcentral lists this ribosomal RNA (253 nucleotides) under uncultured bacterium. RNAcentral's name for it is "partial 16S ribosomal RNA". It matches the Rfam family "Bacterial small subunit ribosomal RNA", at positions 524 to 776 of the family's 1533-position model. The record is from RNAcentral.
UACGAAGGGGGCUAGCGUUGCUCGGAAUUACUGGGCGUAAAGCGCACGUAGGCGGUCUUUUAAGUCGGGGGUGAAAUCCUGGAGCUCAACUCCAGAACUGCCUUCGAUACUGGAAGACUCGAGUCCGGGAGAGGUGAGUGGAACUGCGAGUGUAGAGGUGAAAUUCGUAGAUAUUCGCAAGAACACCAGUGGCGAAGGCGAGUCCCUGGACAACUUCUGACGCUGAGGCACGAAAGCUAGGGGAGCAAACAGG